CGGGGCCAGGCGCGGUUCGGGGCUCUGGGGCCGCCCCCCCCCCUCACCCCCGGUGGCUCCGGUCCCCGCCGCGCACAAAAUGGACCCGAGCCCCGAGCCCGGCUCCAGCGGCGCCGCCAGCGCGGACGCCGAGGCGCCUUCCACCUCCGCCGCGGCGGCCUCCGCACAAGAGCCCGGCGCCGAGGAGAAAAAGGAUCCUCCAUUUCAACUCAAACUUCCUCCAAAGGCAGCUAGGCCUGAGAAAGAAGUUGACCCCGAAUAUGAAGAGAAGAUGAAAACAGAUCGAGCAAAAAGAUUUGAAUUCCUUCUGAAGCAGACAGAACUUUUUGCACAUUUUAUUCAGCCUGCAGCACAAAAAUCACCAACAUCUCCAUUGAAAGUCAAGCUGGGACGGCCACGGAUGAAGAAAGAUGAAAAGCAGUGUUUGAUUUCAGCUGGCGACUACCGUCACAGGCGCACUGAACAAGAAGAAGAUGAGGAGCUGCUGUCAGAGAGCAGGAAAACAUCCAAUGUCUGUAUUCGGUUUGAGGAGUCUCCUUCAUAUGUGAAAGGAGGAACACUAAGAGAUUAUCAGGUUAGAGGUUUGAACUGGAUGAUCUCAUUGUAUGAGAAUGGUGUUAAUGGCAUUCUGGCAGAUGAAAUGGGGCUUGGUAAGACUCUGCAAACAAUAGCAUUAUUAGGCUACCUGAAGCAUUACCGAAACAUUCCUGGGCCACACAUGGUCCUGGUUCCAAAGUCAACUUUGCACAACUGGAUGAAUGAAUUCAAGCGCUGGGUUCCAUCCUUACGUGCUGUUUGUCUUAUUGGAGACAAAGAUGCCAGAGCUGCUUUUAUCCGUGAUGUCAUGAUGCCUGGUGAAUGGGAUGUUUGUGUUACAUCAUAUGAAAUGGUAAUUAAAGAGAAAUCUGUCUUCAAAAAGUUUAACUGGAGGUACCUGGUAAUUGAUGAAGCCCACAGAAUAAAGAAUGAGAAGUCUAAGCUGUCAGAGAUUGUACGUGAGUUCAAGACAACAAAUCGAUUGCUGCUCACAGGAACUCCUUUACAGAAUAACCUCCAUGAGCUCUGGGCAUUACUCAAUUUUCUUUUACCUGAUGUCUUCAAUUCUGCUGAUGAUUUCGACUCAUGGUUUGACACAAAAAAUUGUCUUGGUGAUCAGAAACUUGUGGAAAGACUUCAUGCUGUUUUGAAGCCAUUUUUAUUACGUCGCAUAAAAGCUGAAGUAGAAAAGAGUUUGCCUCCAAAGAAGGAAGUAAAAAUUUAUCUUGGGCUCAGCAAAAUGCAGAGGGAAUGGUAUACGAGGAUCCUGAUGAAAGAUAUUGAUAUCCUGAAUUCAGCUGGGAAGAUGGACAAGAUGCGUCUGCUGAACAUCCUGAUGCAGCUGCGGAAGUGCUGUAACCAUCCUUACCUGUUUGAUGGUGCUGAGCCAGGCCCUCCUUACACCACUGACACACAUCUCAUCACCAACAGUGGUAAAAUGUUAGUUCUGGAUAAACUGCUGGCAAAACUUCGAGAGCAAGGUUCCAGAGUGUUGCUUUUCAGUCAGAUGACUCGCUUGCUGGAUAUUUUGGAAGACUAUUGCAUGUGGCGUGGAUACGAGUACUGCAGACUUGAUGGACAGACACCACAUGAAGAAAGAGAGGAAGCAAUAGACACAUUUAAUGCUCCCAACAGCAGUAAAUUCAUUUUCAUGCUGAGUACCAGAGCUGGAGGUCUUGGAAUUAAUUUGGCAACUGCUGAUGUGGUUAUUCUCUAUGAUUCAGAUUGGAACCCUCAAGUAGAUCUGCAGGCCAUGGAUCGUGCUCAUCGUAUUGGUCAAAAGAAACCAGUCCGGGUGUUUCGCCUUAUCACUGAUAAUACUGUUGAAGAGAGGAUUGUAGAAAGAGCUGAAAUAAAACUGAGGCUGGACUCUAUAGUUAUACAACAAGGAAGGCUCAUAGACCAACAGUCUAACAAACUGGCAAAAGAUGAAAUGCUGCAGAUGAUCCGUCACGGUGCCACACACGUGUUUGCCUCCAAAGACAGUGAGCUGACAGAGGAAGAUAUAACCACUAUAUUAGAAAGAGGUGAAAAGAAGACAGCUGAAAUGAAUGAAAGAUUGCAAAAAAUGGGGGAGAGCUCCUUGAGGAAUUUCACUAUGGACACAGAGAUGAGCUUAUACAACUUUGAAGGUGAAGACUACAGAGAAAAACAAAAGCUGAGCAUGAUGGAAUGGAUAGAGCCCCCAAAAAGAGAACGCAAAGCUAAUUAUGCAGUUGAUGCCUAUUUCAGAGAAGCCCUACGUGUUAGUGAACCCAAAGUCCCAAAGGCUCCACGACCUCCAAAACAACCCAAUAUUCAGGAUUUCCAGUUUUUCCCACCACGGUUGUUUGAACUUCUGGAAAAAGAAAUCCUGUAUUAUCGUAAGACUAUAGGAUACAAGGUUCCCAGGAAUCCUGAUCUCCCAAAUGCAGCUCAGGUACAAAAAGAGGAACAGAAAAAGAUAGAUGAGUCUAUGCCUCUGAAUACUGAGGAAACUGAAGAGAAGGAAAAGCUUCUGACACAGGGCUUUACAAACUGGAAUAAGAGAGAUUUUAACCAGUUUAUUAAGGCUAAUGAGAAAUAUGGUCGUGACGAUAUCGACAAUAUUGCCCGGGAGGUGGAGGGAAAGUCACCUGAAGAGGUCAUUGAGUAUUCAGCUGUUUUCUGGGAACGCUGUAAUGAACUCCAGGACAUUGAGAGGAUCAUGGCUCAAAUAGAAAGAGGAGAGGCAAGAAUUCAGCGGAGGAUCAGUAUCAAGAAGGCCCUUGAUGCCAAAAUUGCAAGGUACAAAGCACCUUUUCAUCAGCUGCGUAUUCAGUAUGGAACAAACAAAGGGAAGAAUUACACAGAAGAGGAAGACAGAUUUUUGAUUUGCAUGUUGCACAAGAUGGGCUUUGACAAGGAAAAUGUUUAUGAGGAGCUAAGGCAGUGUGUGCGCAAUGCCCCUCAGUUCAGAUUUGACUGGUUUAUCAAAUCCAGAACUGCAAUGGAGUUCCAGAGACGGUGCAAUACUCUCAUAUCAUUAAUAGAAAAAGAAAAUAUGGAAAUUGAGGAAAAAGAAAGAGCUGAAAAGAAGAAAAGAGGAGCAAAAGUUACAGCAUCACAGAAGAGAAAAGCAGAUUUGGCUGCUGAGAACUCUGGAAAAAAAGAUGCUAAGAAAGUGAAGUCAUGAAACCUGAAUGCUAAGUGUAGAACUGCCACUUUCUUCUCACCAUCUACAAGUAUGAAUUGCCAACUUAUUUGUAUUCAUGUGAUGUGCUGUGCUAACUGUAUAGCAGAAGAUGAUGCAAUUGUUCUUCUAGAUACUGCCCUCUUCAUCAGAUAGCUGUUCUGAGGCAUGAUGGAUGCUCCCAGGAACUACCUGUUAUCUCUUACAGUCUGUAGUUCCUGGUUCAGCUGAAUGUGCUGUUGAACAACAGUCCUUGAGAGAACUUGUGUACUGUGUACCAGCUCCUCAGCAUAUUGAGUCUUCCCAUCCAUCAUGUCCCACAGUGAUAACUGAAGAAAAUUGCCACUAGCUGCUGGUCAGGAUUUAAAGUAAAAUGGGUCUUUGUUUUCCUUUUUUUGUUCUGCCAGUUGCAGAUGCACACACUGUGUGUGCCUAGCUGUAUCUAAAUGAUGUGCUGCUGUGACAUAAAAUUAGAUGGACUGAAAUAAAGGAAUCUUCCUCUUAACUACUAUUUCCUUAGGUGUUUGUAAGGUAUCUGUAAGCACUGAAUGUAACACAGUACAAAACUUCUGGAAAGUCUGAGCCUUCAGGCAAUUUGAUAGUUAUAAAAAAAAAAGUGAUAUAAAAUUUUGAAAAGAAUUGACUGGUUCCUUUUGAGUAGACAAUUUAAAUUUGAUUGGUAACCAUUAGGCUUGAAGAAAGAAAAAAUAGUCAUCUAGCACCUUUCACAUAUCAAGCAGUGCAUGUAACAUCCUGGAAGAGGUUGCAACAGUUGUGUUCUUCUAUUCACAUAUUCAUCACCUUCAAAUUAUCAUCAUCCCUUUUUAUUUUUGAUCUGUGUUAGUGAUGAGAAAGUCAUGCAGUUGACCAUCUUCAUUAUAUUUAAUUUCAAUUUGUUAUGGUGAUGUAGAGAAGGAAUGAAGAUUUCUUCCUGCUGGUACUAUUAAGACUCUCCUUAGAUAUUGUUUGCACAAGUAGAAUUGCUAUCCUAAAAUACUAAGAAUUUUUUUCUUGUAGAUUAGCAUUGCUUGUUUGAUGUAGUGCUAAUGCUGGUUCUUGAAAAAGCCCCAGCUUUAACUCUGAGAUCAUGAGCAAGGAAUACAGUAUAUGGAAAUAAAUCUUCAUAAAUACCUAAUGGAAGUAAUUUCUGCUAGGCAGCUCCUGCAGCAUCUGCAUUUCCUGCUGUGCACUGUUAUGAUACAGAUGCUCUCUGUGCAUGCCUCUUCCUCAACUUCAGUGGAGGGAUAAGGGACUUUCAGUGAUGACAAAUUAAUGCCAAAGUUUAAAAACGUGGGCUUUACAGGCUGAAAAAGCAGGUGGAAUUGUGUGGUCAGCAGUGGUUUCUGGGAAUGUAAAAUGUGGUUGGUGCAGCCAUUGGCACUUGUGGUGUGGGCAGGGGUUGGUCACUGACUGUAGUUCUGAUCUGGUUAAGGUAGCUUGACAGUUAUAUUUUGCUUUAAGUUUAUCCAGUCCAUGUACUUAUUGUCAAGCAUGUAUGUAAAUGCUUUGGUGGGUCACAGUUACAAUCUUUGGUAUGUUCUUUUCAUGGAAGAAAUAAAGUUGAACUUGGUUUGCAUAUUUUGCAAUGUAAUGUUCUCUUAAUUGCAUUUGCAUGAUAUCCAUCCUUUCAUAAGAGCCUUAAUAGGAUUAAUAUUUGCUGCCUCAAAGGUAUGGCUAUGUUGUGUUGUUGAAAGAUAACUUCUGAAGUUUUUCAAAUUAAGAUUUGUUUCUUAAGUUGUACAUAUAUGAAAAUAAAAAUUAAUACGAACCUGAUGUGUUCUGGUAAUUAUAUUUCAUGGCUUAUGCAUAAAAUAGUUUGAUUUGUUUUCAUUGCUCUUGGAGCUCUUGUGAUCCU
This is an RNA transcript of Calypte anna (Anna's hummingbird), 5042 nucleotides long. It is a transcript of the gene named SWI/SNF related, matrix associated, actin dependent regulator of chromatin, subfamily a, member 1, with no coding region annotated. The record is from RefSeq and is a predicted model, not a curated record. The transcript is spliced from 25 exons. NCBI's taxonomy places the organism in Eukaryota, Metazoa, Chordata, Aves, Apodiformes, Trochilidae.